Long non-coding RNA from Misgurnus anguillicaudatus (oriental weatherfish), 8238 nucleotides. RefSeq lists it as uncharacterized. Lineage: Eukaryota; Metazoa; Chordata; Actinopteri; Cypriniformes; Cobitidae. The record is from RefSeq and is a predicted model, not a curated record.
CCAGCCUUGUUUGAACAUGGUGGCUAUUCACCAACAAUCCAGAAUAUACUAUUUAGUGUAUUAUGGCAUGUCGAUGAAUAAAACUGUUUAAAAACUUCAUGAAGGUCACAGUAAAUGUAGUAUUUUUGGAUGCUUUAGUUUGGGGGUGGGGUUGAAAUCCACUUUUAUACACUGAAGGGUCCCAUGAUGAGGGCUUCUUGGUAUUACAGAGAAACCAGCAUGUUUGCUUCUUAGCAGUGGCAUUUUUAUUGUUGCCUUUUCCUAAUAUUUUCCUUAAAAAAUUCUUCAUAUGGUCAAAUUCUGUACAUAAAUCUUAUAAUAAUUCAAUGAUUUUGGUUUAGUGCCACCAAAUAUAAAUCGUUAUAGGAAAUAAAUAGCUUCUUUAAGAUAAUGCACACUUUUUUGCAUCAAAUACUGUAGAUACACAUAUUAGUAGUUAAGUGUUUGCAGUUUCAUGAUGAAUUUUUAUGAGUUUUAUCCAUUUUUGCAUCAGUGCUUCUGUGAUCGAUCCUGUGGUCUGUUUAAGAAUUCCGUGAACGUGCACUUAUCCUAACUAGCUACACCUGGCUUGACAUAGCUGCCCGUUCUCAUCCUGACUUAGCCAUCGUGCAACAGACUUAGCCAGGAUGGGCUGAUUAAACUAGGUCAAGCUGGGCCUUUUCUGUUAUCCUGGCUUUCUUAAUUCUACUUUUGUGCAAUACCCCCCUGAAUUUGUUUUACAUGUUUUAAUAAAGUGGCUGCACUGAUUCUCGCCUCGCUUGAUGAAGCACCACGUGCAUCUCAGGUAAGGCUAAGUGAAUCAGCAUGUGAAUAAUCGUUAGCUAUAUUACAUUAACGUUAUACAUAUGUAUGUAAUUAUCUUUUAAAUAACAGUGUGUUGUGAAUGCAUUAGCACUUCAUUCGUUGCUAGCAUUUAGGGAAAACCAUUCAUUCAUUCAUUUUAUUUUUUUGACAGGGACAAUGCAAACAUACAUAGUGUCAAAGCAAGCUUAUCACUAAAGUGCUGCAUAAAAAGUUUAUAGCAAAUGCUAAUUUUCAACUCCUGUCCCUGGUUGGGCUCUAAAAACAAUACAAUUGAAUUUACAUAUACUAUACUACUUCAAUUUAAAACAAAUAAACAUGAUAUUGACAAUUCAUGUCUCUAAUCAUACACAAUAAAAUUUACCCAUAAAAUUUACCCGUAAGGUUUAAAUACACACAUAUACUAUAUACAACUCAUACUUACUAGUUAAAAAUGAGUGCACCUUUGAUUUGUUUUUAACCAGUUUUUUAGCCUGGAAGUAAACACAUUAAAAUCCAGUACAUUCUUAAUGUCAGAUGGUAAUGAGUUCCAGAGUUUGGAGCUCUUCACAGAGAAGGUCGUCUGACCAAAACUGGUCCUACAAAAUGGGAUUUUACAGUCAUGAUUUGAAAAACCCCUAGUGACUCGAGUGCUGCUCUGUCUCUCAAUAAAUGAACUUAGUGGCACAGGUACUAAAUGAAUGCACUUGUAAAUUAGUUUAAGAAAGCAAAAGUUGCUAAAGCUCUCAAAAUUCAUUAAAUUAUAUAUUUUUUAAAUGGUACAGUGAUGAUGUCGUAUUGGUUUUUUGUCCAUUAUUUUUAUUGCUCUAUUGUAUACAGAACGUAUACAUUUGGCAGGCCCGGUACUAGCCUUGCUGGACUGGGGGGGCAGUCAGGAUUUUUGGGUGGGCAGCCAUUUCUCGACUAAAACGAUUCAUACACUAAAAUUAUGGAUGUUUCAAUAUGUCUUAUGAUAAAAGGCCAUUUAUAUGUCAUUUUGCACGUUCAACUUUAUUUCCACUUCUCAAACAUUUUCUUCAUUUAAAAUAAUGUAUUUUCAAUGUGAUAUAUGUGAUAAGCUGUGUUAAUUAAUUCCUGACCCUAUCAUACAUGGUGCUGCAGCAACCUCAAAUAUCACAACAAAGCACAACGCUUUAUUAAUCUAUUUUGAAACAUCAUGUAAGCAAUUUGACAUGCAUGACAAAUUCGUCAAAGGUUAUCCUGUUUGCCUAUAACAGCACCAGACAAAAGCACAAGCCCUAAAAUACUGUAAGUGUGAUUUGCGACGAGACCAAAGAUAACACAGCAAAUCAGAUAUUUAAGCAAUAUCGCUCGAGUAGGAGUGUGAAAUAGCUCUAUAUCAUCACGGCUGUGAUUAGGCCGUAGGCCGAGUGCCGGAGACAAUCACAGCCGUGAUGAUAUAGAGCUAUAUCACACGACUCCGAGAGCGAUAUUGCUUUUAUACAACAGUUCGACGGCACACGUUUGAAAAACGAAAACUAGAAAACAACAACGGAGUUAUUUUAAAAGCCUCUUUGUUUGAGAACUACUUCUUCCGCCACGGAUUUGAGGGCGGCCAGAAUGACAGGUAAAACUUUCGGCUGCUUUGAAGCUCAUAACAACUCAAUGGACGGAAAAGCCGUUACUUUAUAUUACCGUUUCUUGGUCACAAAGUGUAGUUUUAAGAUUAGUUCAGUCGAGAAUGUAUAUGUAUUAUAUUUAAAUCUGCAGUCGAUUAGUAAAGAUAGCGCCUGUUUGAACGUUUGCUUAGUGAGAUUCGGUACGAAUGAGAACCAAAGCAUGAGCGGACGUCAGUGUUCACUCGCCCCUGCUGACCACCGCCCUCUCUGGGCUACAUCUCUGACAGAGAUACCCUGGCUCUCAUGUUGGCCUUGUUUGUUUAUGAUCGUCAAAAUGAGAUCAAAUCAGCAGUAUUUGGUGUCAUGAUCAAACUAUUACUUGUUUUUUAAUUCAUAUUUAGUGUCUUUUGUGUUGUUAUUGUUUUGGCGUGAGGUAAAAGUUAAUAAAACUACUUGUAUAACGUUACUAUUGCUUUCUCAUUUAUUCUUAACGUGAUACGAGCACUCGAUUAUUAUUAUUAAACUUUGUUCUUGUCAGUACUAUAUAAAACGAUUUUUAUAAGUGUCAGAGAGAUGUUUUUGCAUGCUGCUUAUAAAUAACGUUAUACCAGUGGCGAUCUCUCAUAACAUGUUUUAAUAGUCACGUCACGAUAAAGUAAAUGAUCAAUGUCCACAUUUAAAAGCUGCGGUGCUUACCUGCAGUUCCACGUUGUUUUCGCUUUCUGAUAAGAAAUAUAGCUCCAGAAAAAAACGAGUGUUUAUAUUCCUCUUUCCAAGUGUUAAUCGUCCACACGAUGUGACAAGACAUUUCUCCCAUUAACUUUAACGUAACAUCCAAGAGCGCUGAUCUUUGACGGAAUAACUUCCGAUUGGGGAUUCACAGACUGAUUUAUGAGCUAGUGAAAUAAUGAGACACACGGAGAGUGAUUCACACAGCGCGUCUGUGUUUUCCCAUUCAGAGAUGAGCCUGCUUAGGACCUCCAUUCACUAGGUAGCGGAAUGAUACGAAAGGUGAAGCGGUUACAGUGCCGAUAUCAGCACAAUAUCGCAUAGCUCUUAGCCAAUCAGAUUCGAGAACCAGAAAGAACUGUUGUAUAAUAUAAUACAACGCAACAUUAUAAAAUACAACGUUUUACCUUAUGAUGACCUUGCGGAGUGAAAGCUCCUCUUGAACUUAAAAGUCUGUAGAUUUUUGCGUGUAAAGUUUUUCUCAAACGCGAGCUGAAUGAGCUGACGAAUUACGAUGACAAAACCGCUAAAAUGUGAUAUUAAAACUGCACGCGAUGCUCAGCUGUUACAAUACUGUAUAUUUACUGUAUAACCAUCUUAUAUCAUUUAUAUCUACUAUAUAGUAUGCCACAACCAAACUGCAUAUUCUAAUUUUAAUAAACAGAACUACGUCUAAAACAAACACAUUAAAUGCUGCUGGAGACUUGCCAUUGGCUGUUGUAUUUGAAUGAAUAAAUAAUAAGGUUAGUCUAAGAAAGGAUAAGGGGCUAUUUUGGGCAUGUUUUACUAUAAAAAAAGUUUUAAUUUAAUAUGUGUUGGGUUAUUACGUUUAUGUAAUAAUAAAUUGCAUCGUUUCUGAUAUAUUUUAAAGAUGCGUUUUAUUUUUUAGUUACCGUCAUAGAGAACAGUAGUACUUUUCCUGUGACUUAAAUACUGCUGAAAACACCUCCAAAGCUUGAAUAAGCUAAACAGAUGAUAGUGGGCAGGAACUGUAAACGCUAGCGCUUGCCUAAAGGAGAUAUUUUUUGUUUAAAGAGACUCCGUUAUUUUAAGGUUGGCUGGACAUUUUUUGGGGGGCAGAAGCCCCCCCGUAGACCCAGCCCUGACAUUUGGUUGCAGUGGGAGUGGCUUGAGCCCAUGCUGUCAUGCAAUACGAUAUAUGAGAAAAAAAUCAUGGCAUGCAUGUACAGCAGAGCUGCCUGGUGCGGUAUAAAACUUCUAAUUAAUUUAAAACAGUUAAGAUUACUUUGGGUUGUUUUAAAAAUCUUCUUUAUUUGCUUAUCAAAUUUUCAACCCAGUAUCACGCUAAAGCGUGUAAUAGACACGCUGGUCCACUAAAGGAUGCGUGCCAAUGUCACGUUUGCCGCCUCUAGGCGUGAAAAUGACACGCAUUUAUGUAAGGAAUAAUUGACGACGGGCCAUUGAAUUAUAAGAAAAUAAUGCACACCAAGGUGGUAAUGCGGCACGACGUGAAGCGGAGUGCCGUUACACCGCAGGUGUGCAUUAUUUUCAAAUAAUUCAAAGGACCGGAGUCAAUUAUUCCGCUUAUACCACGGUUACCACAAACAUUGCUCUGGUGCCUAUUUUUAAGACAUUUGAAAAGUUAGGUGUGCGGUUUACAGAAAAAUAAUCAACACCCAUAGAACAUUUCUCAGCCAAUCAGAAUGCAGCAUUCAACAGACCCGUGGUAUAAGAGGAUGAUAACCAAGAGGGGGGCGAUAAUUUGCUCAAUGCCAACAACUUCAACAAGAGAAGCGACGCAGUGAUAUUGCGUUCUCCGGAGUUCCAUGGGUAAGGCUAACUUGGAAAUUUGGUGAUUAAUGUUACUAAAAUUGAGUAAAUCCUUUGUGUUAAGUCUUUGUUGCAACGUUAGCAAUAUAAUAUCACCGCUAAGGCAACAGACAAGUCAGUGCACGCGUUUGGUCAGAAUCCAAUUGGCUCAUAUUUAGGACAUAACGUUAAUUGUUUUUUCAGGUGCGGUCAUUUAAGAAAUCCUAAAGUUGGUGCAGCAUAACAUUUAAUUUGCGUGUGUGGACUAUGGAGUUAUCUAUAGUGGUUUUUACGUUACUAAGGUCAGAAACAUUAUUGGAUGACUGUUUGAUAAUCAGCUAAUGUAUUUAUCACAGAAAGCUGCAGUGACUGCAUUAUAUUAUGUUGCUAAACAGUUGUUCUAGCGUUUUUAAACCAGUAGUUUUAUUAAUUUCGCACGGAAUGCAGUUUGUGAAAUAAGCUCUAAAUGAAAAAAUAACCGAUUAAAGAGAAUAAUUGUGUUCAUUGUAAAUCUGCUCAUCUAAACAUACAAGGCGGAACCAAUCGAUCACAGAGAGCGAUCGCUGCUGACACCGUCAGCAGCACUCACAUUCAGAUUACAAUAAUAUUUCACAUUAUUAGUGUUUUUACUGUUUUUUAUAUCAAAUAAAUGCAGCCUUGGUGAGCAGAAUAGAUUUAUUUAAUUAUUUAAUAUUAUUUAUAUUAUAUAAUUAGGCUAGUUUGUGCAGUUACAUUUGUCAAUUGAUCGUUAGAAGGGAUUAAAAUUGAUUGUGUUAUGUUCUGUAUUGUUGUUAAUAAAUCUGUCAGAAGAAAGUGUGUAAAAGUUUGACUACAGUAACCAUAUCUAAGCUUCAAGUACCAAGAUAAUUAUUUCAUUUAUUUCUCUGAAUUCAGAUCAACUGUUCAUUUAUGCAGUUUAUGCUUUAUUUAUAGGUAGCAUAACUGUUACCUUUUUUUUUUACAGUUCUGCAUAUAUAAUAUGACAAACCAAGGAGACUUUGCUGUAAGAGAAUUAUUCCUGUUUUUGUUUUCUUUUCUCAGGUCCGGUCAGUACCCACCACCCUUCCCUGUUAACAUCACCCACAGUUUAUACUUUUUCUUAGAAAACCAACGGCUCUUUUAAGAGCCACUUCAAUAAUCAACUCACUCACUCUCCUCAAAAAUGCCAGGCCAGGGAUCAACAACUAGAAAGUGUGUGGUCUGCCAUACACAACUAAAUGUAGCUUGCAAAACCUGCAACACAUGCAAGGUAGAGCAGCCACAUAAGCUUAGGGUAAAAAAGAACUGAAGAAAUUUGAUCAGAAGUGGGAGAGCUGGGUGCACGAUGAAGAUGAAGAUAUGGAAGAUAUGCUGGCCUGGAAGAAAACCAAAUGCUUGGGGGUCUGAGGUUUUGACACCCCGUUGUCACUUGACUGAGACAUCCAUUACAUGCUUGGAAAGAUUAAAGAACCUAUUCAAGGCGGGACCUCACAAGGUGUUGCAGAACAAGUCAAUAAAACCUCAUCAGCCCGAGUUGAAUCCCCAACUGGACCACAAAUGGCCCAACCUGAUCUCCAGGUACCAGUGGCCCUGCCUCAAACCAGAGCAGCUCCAACUGGACCACCAGCAGCCCUUAUUGGACCACAAAAGUCCCCAAUUUGACAGCCAGUAUCCCUUUUAGGACCCUUAGGACACAAUGCAACCCCACUGCAGCAAUCUGGGAAAAGAAACCCAUUACCCAGAUGGACCCCCAAGAGCCUCCCCAGUUUCUCUUGGAAAAGAUGGUGUGAAAGAAGGCUUUCCAGCUCUGACUACAGUGCGGCCAGAUCAAGAGAGAUCCCCUCUUGUCAGUGAACUACGGCUCUGUGUAGUAAAUGUCGCUCCAUCUGAAAGCAGCUGAUGGCCAUUUACUACUAAACAAGGACGAGGUUUACUGAGGGGAUGCGCGUUACAAUCACAUGCGAUUAAUUGUGCAGCCCUAGUAUGUAGUGUAUUACAGCCUGUUGUGAAUUAAUUAACAGUACUUAUCUGCAGUGUGAAAACUGUUGUACAUGGUGGUUCUUGCACUCUAUGGGAAAGUACGGAUUUGAUUUGAGGAGUGUAUAUAAAAAAAAAAUUCAGACUAUUACUCCCAUUCCAUUUUCUAAAAUGUAUUAUUCAGAAAUUCUGAAUAAUACGUGUUUCUCGUUUCUCCAAGUUAAUUUGAAACAAAUAACCAAAUGUGACCCUGUCUGUAAAAACAUGGCCUAAAGUCUAAGAAUCAAAUUCUGAAUAAUGUGCAUCAUUGAUUUCACCUAUUUAUUUCACUAUGAUUUCAAUGUUUGACACGACCUUACUUAGUCAAUAUUAAGGAUAUCACAAUGUUCUUUAUGUUGGAAGAGUUUAUGUAGAAAAUAAAAUAAAAUCACAGUUAUGCAGUGAUGUACUUAUCAUAAAGUAAACAAUGUUUUUUUGAAAACCUUAUAUUUACUUUGUUUGACAGUAGAAUGCCAUCUAUCUUUAUAUAUAGGAGUAUGAAAUUAUCUCAACCACCCUACCCUGUAGUUUACUACAGUAUAAAACAAAAAAAAAACUACAGUGCGAAAACUGUGCCCCCUAGCUUAACCAAUUAUUGUAAUGCUUGUUUAGUGUAGUGUUAAGCUUUUUGAAUGUAGUAUUGUAUUCCUUUCAAAAUGCCCACACAAUGUGACAGGGAGACAGGAUUUUUACCCUGUGAAGAGGGUUGCCAAAUCCAGAGUUAUUAAGGUUAAAUGUAAUACAACUCAAACAAUACACAGGUUAUAUAAUGUUCCAGUUGAAAAGGGAUGAUAUAGUUUUUUGUUUUGUUUUGUUAUUGAUGUAAUGGUCUUAAACUUAUUGGUAAACACAGUAAAUAUUUGAAACUAAAAAAGUCCCACUGUUUUUUAGGGCCAGAAAUGGAAGCAGGUGGAGUGGGAGCCGUGCAAACUUUGAUAAAAGCAGUGGCCAUUUGAGUGGGUGGCGGAUGGGGACACUUGUUAGUGCUUCGGCAUCUUCUUGGGGACCUGAUACAAUAAGAAGCACUAUUAUUUUCUCUGUGUAACUUGUUUUUCUUUUAUGUUUUAAACAAACACUUGUUUCUUGGACCCUUUUAUUGCUCCUCCUUUCACUUGCUUUUUUGCACUUUUUUGGAUAUUAAUACUGAAUACUGCUAAUACUGUUUUGCAACCAAAUUAUUGUCAAUUUAACUGUUUUAAUCGAUGUUAUAUCCUACUGUGAUGUAAUGAUGUUAAGUACAGUGAGUCUAUUUACUUUACUUUUUUCAAUAAACAUUGAGGAAUUCAUUGGUUUCUUUAUUUUCACACACACUAUUUAUUAAAAAGUCUACUUGGUGAACAUUCAAGACAACAUAAAAUGUAUUUGCUCAGAGAAUAAAAAACAU